AUCAUUACAGGAUCGUUCGAAAGACGUCUCCAUAAACCAUUGUGAACUUACCUAUUUGUCGUGCUUCGGUAGGCAGACUUGCAUUCGUGUAAGCCUCCUAGGCCUUAACGGGUGCCUACCGAAGUGCAACCUUUUUCAAACUAUGAUAUCUUUGUGGAAUCUCUGAAAAAUAAACAAACCAAUAACAACUUUCAACAAUGGAUCUCUUGGCUCUGGCAUCGAUGAAGAACGCAGCGAAAUGCGAUAAGUAAUGCGAAUUGCAGAUCUCAGUGAGUCAUCGAAUCUUUGAACGCACAUUGCGCCCUCUAGUAUCCUGGAGGGCAUGCCUGUUCGAGCGUCACUACAACACUCAAGCUCUGCUUGGCGUUGGGGUUAUACGGCGGGAGUUUAUCUCUGCCGUAUGCCCUCAAAAUCAGUUGGCGGGACCGCGAGGAAACCCGGACGAAGUAGAANUUACAGCGUCAANGGAUACCGAGCUGGCCUCUAGCCAUAAAACUCAUUUUUAUAACCAGUGUUGACCUCGGAUCAGGUAGGAAUACCCGCUGAACUUAAGCAUAUCAAUAAGCGGAGGAAAAGAAACCAACAGGGAUUGCCUUAGUAACGGCGAGUGAAGCGGCAACAGCUCAGAUUUGAAAUCUGGCCCUAGGNCCGAGUUGUAAUCUGUAGAGGAUGCUUUUGGUUAGGUGCCUUCCGAGUUCCCUGGAACGGGACGCCAUAGAGGGUGAGAGCCCCGUACUGUUGGACACCGCGCCUUUGUAAAGCUCCUUCGACGAGUCGAGUAGUUUGGGAAUGCUGCUCUAAAUGGGAGGUAAAUUCCUUCUAAAGCUAAAUACCGGCCAGAGACCGAUAGCGCACAAGUAGAGUGAUCGAAAGAUGAAAAGCACCUUGAAAAGAGGGUUAAAUAGCACGUGAAAUUGUUGAAAGGGAAGCGCUCGUGACCAGGCACGCGCCGAGGAGAUCAUCUAGCGUUCUCGCUGGUGCACUCUCGUCGGCGUGGGCCAGCGUCGGUUCUCUUGGGGGGAUAAAAGUAGUAGGAACGUGACUCCUCCGGGAGUGUUAUAGCCUAUUGCCCAAUGCCCCCGAGGGGA
RNAcentral lists this ribosomal RNA (1088 nucleotides) under uncultured fungus. RNAcentral's name for it is "eukaryotic LSU rRNA". The stretch from base 516 to 1088 matches the Rfam family "Eukaryotic large subunit ribosomal RNA", at positions 1 to 585 of the family's 3401-position model. Lineage: Eukaryota; Fungi. The record is from RNAcentral.